UGGGGGGGGUAACAUAGAAUUUUUCAAUAUUUUUUGAAAUUUUUGAAAUUUUUAUUAUUUGUUUUUAAUUGCUUUAGUAGUUAAAUUUUAAUUUUUGUGUGAUUGUCUGUGGUCGAGCUUGUAGAAAUAUAAGUGAUUGGUUAGGAGUGUGUAAAUAGGAUUUUGUGCCUAGAAUGCAAAUUUAGCUCGAUAGUAAUUGAU
This 201-nucleotide long non-coding RNA is filed under the name Gossypium raimondii (Peruvian cotton). Its description in RNAcentral is "long non-coding RNA (GRAI_LNC009902)". The record is from RNAcentral. Lineage: Eukaryota; Viridiplantae; Streptophyta; Magnoliopsida; Malvales; Malvaceae.